RNAcentral lists this non-coding RNA (24 nucleotides) under Arabidopsis thaliana (thale cress). Lineage: Eukaryota; Viridiplantae; Streptophyta; Magnoliopsida; Brassicales; Brassicaceae. The record is from RNAcentral.
CUCCGCCUCCUGCGAGAUCCAUCA